Molecule: long non-coding RNA, 1891 nt
Filed under: Hordeum vulgare
Lineage: Eukaryota; Viridiplantae; Streptophyta; Magnoliopsida; Poales; Poaceae
Description: long non-coding RNA (HVUL_LNC007872)
Source: RNAcentral
AGAGCUCCGUCGAACGGCGCAGAGGGAGGAGAGGCGCCGCCCAUCCCCGUCGGCGACGAGCACUGGACCUCCGACCAGGUCACCUCGUUGCUCCUUCGCUCCAACUAGGUGGACGCACCGUGCGUGGACGAGACAUGUUGAAGGCUCUUCCCUACGAGUACCUGGUCGGCAUCGAUGUACGCCGCUCGGACCCGACCAUUCUGGUCGCUUCGCCAUGAUCGUAGAGGCCACCACCAAUGGAGUUACCUUCUAGUUCGGUCUGUAGCAUACGAUGUGCUACGCUUUGUUUUCUGAAACAGGUGGCCAGUUGCAGGAAUAUGAGUAGGUAGAGAACGCAUUAGUGACGAGAGUUCCAAAGAGAUAAGGAUUAAGGAGAGAUGUGAUGUGUGUGGGUCAUUUCAAGAUGUGUGGCGAGCGUAGCAUUCGGCGGACGUACCAGAAAAAAUCGGUCACUUGAACACAAGUUUUCCCCUUUUUAAAAACAUUCGUACCUUCACAAAAUGUUAGGAAUUUUUAAAAAAUGUUCGCUAUUUUAAAAAAAUGUUUGGUAUUUCAAGAGAAUGUUUGGUAUUUACAGAAAAUAUUUGAAAUAUAAAAAUAUUGUACAUUUUUUUAAUAAAGUUUGGGUUUGAAAAUUGUUCUUAAAUUUUCAAAAAUGUUCUUGCUUUUAAAAAAAUGUUCCAAAUAUCAAAGAAUUGUCAUUUCUCAAACAUUAUAAUUUUUUACAUUCAAAAACUAUUCUGGACUUUUAAAAUAUGUUCUGGAUUUUUAAAAAUUGUACAUAAAAUUCGAAAAAUGUUUUUUGCUUUUCUAGAAAAUGUUCUAAAUUUCAAAUAGUUGACAUUUUCAAAAACAUUCAUAACUUGAAAAAAGGGAUUUUUAAAAAAAUUGGUUUUAUAAUAAAAUGUUCCGUAUUUUAAGAAAAUGUUUGGUAUUUUCAAAAAAUGUUUGAAAUAUCAAAAGUUCCCAGUUUUUAAACUAUGUUCGUUUAAAAAAUGUUCUUGCUUUUAAAAAAUGUUCCAAAUUUUAAAAAUUUAUCAUUUUCAGACUUUUUUCAUAAAUUCUGAAAAUAUUCUGAAUUUUGGAAAAUUGAUCUUCAAAUUCAAAAUAUGUUUUUGCUUCAAAUUUGAAAAUAAAAAGGAAAAGGGAAAGAAAAAACGAAAAAGGAAAAAAAGGAAAUAAGCAUAAAAGGAACAAAAAGAAACAGAAAAGAAAAUUAUCUGAUAUAUUUUAGGCAAAAAAAAUAGACCGGCCUAGUCGGGCGACCCUCCCUGUACGUGUGAGCGGCUCCCUGCCGCAGAAUGCGGCAAGUAGGAGAUCCGGUUUUAUGCGAGCUCUAGGGUGGUUUGGACAUGGCUUUGGAUGUUGGGUCCAUAUAGUACUAUAACCUACUCGCUUUGUUGCAAAAUACUUCAUCCGUUCUUAAAUAUAAGUUUUUUAAAGAUUUAACUAAGGGAUUACAUACGAAAUAAAAUAAGUAAAUAUAUACUUUAAAGUAUAUCUAUAUAUAUUUGUAUAUAGUCCACUGAUGAAACCUGUGAAAAGACUUAUAUUUAGGAACACAUGGAGUAUAAGUCUUUUUAAUAUUCUAUUAUGGUCUACAUACAAAGCAAAAUGAGUGCUCUAUAUUUUAAAAUCUUUCUAUAUUCAUCCGUAUGUAGAUUGUAGUGCAAUCUCUUAAAAGACAUAUAUUUAGAAACUGAGGGAGUAAUAAAGAUAGCAGUGUUCACUAAGAAAAUUAUAGAAAAACUAAGGAUGUUUUACCUUAGAAAUUGCCCACAAUUCGAUAUCUUAGAAAAACAAUUUUAUUCAUAAAACACAUAAAAAUUAGUCUCUUCGUUCGAAAAUACUUGUCCUAAAACGGAUGUAUCUAGGCUUAUUUUAGUUAUAG